This 1138-nucleotide long non-coding RNA is filed under the name Gouania willdenowi (blunt-snouted clingfish). RNAcentral describes it as "lncRNA (ENSGWIG00000018845.1)". The record is from RNAcentral. Lineage: Eukaryota; Metazoa; Chordata; Actinopteri; Blenniiformes; Gobiesocidae.
AUGACAGGAGGGGUUUCCAUCGUCCCCUCACUGCUUCACAGACACAGCUCUGAAGGAGAACAUGCAAGCUCCUCCCAGGGUUCCUCUGCUGGCGUUGUUCCUCACAGCUGUGAGGUUUCCUCUACCUACACUCCCUUUUUCUCCCAGUCCUUCCACAGAGGGACACACAGAGUCUUCAUGAGGACAAACCUGAACAUCAAGAAGAUGAACGAUGAGGAUGAGCUGGUUUCCACCCUCAGCUCUGGUUCCUCUCAGCGUCCCUCAGCAGUCAGCAUCAUCAGCAGUUUCAGCCAGCACCACCAGCACCACCAGGACCUCCUCCUCGAACCACAACCCCCCAGUCCGCAGGUACAGCUCAGUACAGCUGAAAACUUCAGUGAUCAAAGGAGAAGUGGGAGGAGCUUCACAGGCAACAUACAGAGACACACGCCGUCUUUCAAAGCAAAGGGCAGGACCGCCUUCAGGGGCGUGUCUGAGACCACUUCCAGGGGCGGUGUCAGGGACAGGAAGUGUCCUCCUCAGCAGGAAGUGUCCGUCCGAAGCGUGCAGACCCUGAGGGAGGAACCCAGAGGAACCAAGGCAGAGCGCAGCAGGAACCCACCCCCCACAGGAACCGGAGCAGGCCGAGGAACCAUCAUGGGGACCCUGCGGCUGCAGAAGGCCCCACCUUCCCCCUACACUAAGGUGACGGCCCCCCGACGGCCGCAGCGCUGCAGCAGCGACAGCAGUUCGGUGCUGAGCGGUGAGCUUCCUCCCGCCAUGGGCCGCAGCGCCUUGUUCUACAGCAGCAGCGGCUACGGCAGCAUAAGGACAAGCCCCGCCCACACUCCACGAGCUCACAGGUCCCCCAGGAGGAGAGGGCAGGGUCAGUCACUCACAGACAUCACAUCACAGACCAUAAACAAACAUCACAUCAGUAGCAUGUGUCUGUGUCUGGUUCUCAGGUGUUCUCAAGGCGAGGUUGGCUCUAAAGGUCAAAGGUCAGAAAGUGGACUCACAGGGGACCUGAACCUUUUUGUCCAGCAGGGGGCACUGUGACGUCAUGAUGUGAGAGCCGCUGAUUGGACCAUGUGACUGACUGGUUGUCUGUUAGCUCCGCCCCUGACCUGCAGGAGGAGCUGCUGCAUCACUUAUAGAC